UCCGCCCGGGAACUACAAGCGCUAGCUCGAAACCCAAAGGACUUGACGGUAUCUCAGACCCACCUAGAGGAGCCUGUUCUAGAACCGAUGACCCCCGUUAAACCUCACCAUCUCUUGCCCAUUCCGCCUAUAUACCGCCGUCGUAAGCUUACCCUGUGAAGGAUCCAUAGUAAGCAAAAAGGGCAAGCCCCAAAACGUCAGGUCGAGGUGUAGCGUUACGAGAUGGCAAAGAAAUGGGCAUACAUUUUCUCUUACAGAAUACUACGGACAACACACAAU
Molecule: ribosomal RNA, 279 nt
Filed under: Hydrolycus armatus
Lineage: Eukaryota; Metazoa; Chordata; Actinopteri; Characiformes; Characidae
Description: partial small subunit ribosomal RNA
Rfam family: Bacterial small subunit ribosomal RNA
Source: RNAcentral